AAGUGCGAUCAUACCAACACUCAUGCACUAGAGAUCCCAUCAGAGCUCCGCAGUUAAGCGUGCGUGGGUGAGAGUAGUACUAGGAUGGGUGACCUCCUCGGAAGUCCUCGUGUUGCACCUC
Molecule: ribosomal RNA, 121 nt
Filed under: Vigna radiata var. radiata (mung bean)
Lineage: Eukaryota; Viridiplantae; Streptophyta; Magnoliopsida; Fabales; Fabaceae
Source: RNAcentral